Pelobates cultripes (western spadefoot toad) is the source of this 302-nucleotide non-coding RNA. The record is from the annotation of a GenBank genome assembly. Lineage: Eukaryota; Metazoa; Chordata; Amphibia; Anura; Pelobatidae.
GCCACUGACGGUAAAAAGGCUUUUCUCCCUCAAUCUUACCGAAGACCAUUUAACAUGUCAUGGAGAGAUGAGCGAAACAAAGAGAAGGCAUUAUGUGACAGCAAGUCAUAUAAGCCUGGAAGGGAGUACUCUAGACCCUCACAAUGGAGGUUUCAACAAUCCACCUCCUCCUCCAUUAGAGCAUCCAGAGGAAGAGGAUUCAGACAAACUCCUAAAACUUUAUGAAGGUUGGGUCACCCAGACCGGAAUAGUAGGAGGCCGUCUAAAACUGUUCUUUCCUGUCUGGGCAGAGUUCAUCAAGG